This 549-nucleotide long non-coding RNA is filed under the name Cottoperca gobio. RNAcentral describes it as "lncRNA (ENSCGOG00000013107.1)". Lineage: Eukaryota; Metazoa; Chordata; Actinopteri; Perciformes; Bovichtidae. The record is from RNAcentral.
UGGCAGAGCGUGUAAAUGUAAAGACUCUUUCUCUGCCUAUUAUCUGAGUGACUCGGGGUUUUGGUGUCUGCCUCCGAGCGUGUGUGUGUGUAUGUUGGAGGGAGAAAAGAGAUAAAGAGAGAGAGAGUAAGGGAGGGAGAGGCAAGCAGCGUUUCUUCUCCCCCCUUUAGCCUCCCCGUCUCCCUGCUCCCUGUCACUCCAUCCUUCCUCCCCUCUCCUGGACCACCCUCCAGCCCUGCUUCGAACCGGACCGAGACCCCCCCUACCACCCAGACCACCCCGGGACCCUUUGACUCUCCUCACUUCUCCGUCCCACCAAACAAAACCUCUGAGCAGGAAGUCCUCUCCUCUCUUCCCCUGGAGCGCUGUCUGUCAACAACUCAACUGCACCAUAUCCACUGAAUCCACCUCAACAGUGAUUUGAUCUAUUACACUUCUGCUGGGCAGGAGAGCAAAGUAAGUGGUCGUAUUCAAUUAGAUUUUAGAGAAUCCAGACAUUUUGAAAGAUAGAUGGAUCACAAUCCACCCGAUUUGCUUGUAGCAGGCCCU